Molecule: unclassified non-coding RNA, 324 nt
Filed under: Nocardia cyriacigeorgica
Lineage: Bacteria; Bacillati; Actinomycetota; Actinomycetes; Mycobacteriales; Nocardiaceae
Description: 16S-23S ribosomal RNA intergenic spacer region
Source: RNAcentral
AAGGAGCAUCUGCACUGCUCGCUUCGAAGAGUCGAAGCCGAGAGUGCCAGAGCCGCUUAUGUUCCCGAAUGUGGAACUGCGGAGCUCAUGGGUGGAACGCUGACAAGUUUCAACGCAUCAUGGUCGAGGUUGAUGUCCUCGGUCGCGGUGAAUAUAUCGACACACUGUUGGGUCCUGAAAGAACAGACGUUCUUUCCAGGCAAAAAAUACGAUCCGCUCGGAUCUUCGGUUAGUACCGCAGAGCUUGCUCUGGCCGGCUUCGAGUCAAAGUCUGAGUGGGUGUGUUGUUUGAGAACUGCACAGUGGACGCGAGCAUCUUUGUUA